RNAcentral lists this long non-coding RNA (317 nucleotides) under Polistes fuscatus (common paper wasp). RNAcentral's name for it is "uncharacterized LOC122518158, transcript variant X1". Lineage: Eukaryota; Metazoa; Arthropoda; Insecta; Hymenoptera; Vespidae. The record is from RNAcentral.
GACGAAAAAUAUUCUCAAAUUUUUCUUUCUUUCUUUUUUUUGUCCUUUUCAAACGACUCCCGUUUCCGUCGGUUCUUUCAUUAAUUAUAGUAAAAUGGCUGAAUGGCACAUCACGAUUCCAACCUUGAGUUCACCCUUUAACAUAUAUUCCUCGUUCUUUACUUGCAUGAAACAUAUUUCCAAAUUUUUGAACAAAGUUGAAAAACGAAAGGAAGAAAGGAUUUUUCGUGUCCGACUUAACGGUGUAUCGUGCUUCUCUGUGUUGUUCAGGGAGAGGAUCCGACUUUACAUCGGGCAAGUGUAAGGAAGAAGAAAAA